RNAcentral lists this ribosomal RNA (264 nucleotides) under uncultured Pseudomonas sp. RNAcentral describes it as "partial 16S ribosomal RNA". It matches the Rfam family "Bacterial small subunit ribosomal RNA", at positions 1120 to 1382 of the family's 1533-position model. The record is from RNAcentral. Lineage: Bacteria; Pseudomonadati; Pseudomonadota; Gammaproteobacteria; Pseudomonadales; Pseudomonadaceae.
AGCACGUUAUGGUGGGCACUCUAAGGAGACUGCCGGUGACAAACCGGAGGAAGGUGGGGAUGACGUCAAGUCAUCAUGGCCCUUACGGCCUGGGCUACACACGUGCUACAAUGGUCGGUACAAAGGGUUGCCAAGCCGCGAGGUGGAGCUAAUCCCAUAAAACCGAAUCGUAGUCCGGAUCGCAGUCUGCAACUCGACUGCGUGAAGUCGGAAUCGCUAGUAAUCGUGAAUCAGAAUGUCACGGUGAAUACGUUCCCGGGCCUU